AACAGGAUUAGAUACCCUGGUAGUCCACACCAUAAACGAUGGUCACUAGUUGUCGGGGGAUUCGACCCCCUCGGCAACGACGCUAACGCAUUAAGUGACCCACCUGGGGAGUACGCUCGCAAGGGUGAAACUCAAAGGAAUUGACGGGGGCCCGCACAAGCGGUGGAGCAUGUGGUUCAAUUCGAUGCAACGCGAAGAACCUUACCUGGGCUCGAAGUGUAGUGUAAACUCAUGAAAGUGGGGUAUCCCUUCGGGGAGCGCUACAUAGGUGCUGCAUGGCUGUCGUCAGCUCGUGUCGUGAGAUGUUAGGUUAAGUCCUGCAACGAGCGCAACCCUUGUCCUUAGUUGCCAUCAGGUAAUGCUGGGAACUCUAAGGAGACUGCCGACGUCAAGUCGGAGGAAGGUGGGGAUGACGUCAAGUCCUCAUGGCCCUUACGUCCAGGGCUACACACGUGCUACAAUGGCCGGUACAGAGCGACGCAAGACCGCGAGGUGGAGCAAAUCGCAAAAAACCGGUCUCAGUUCAGAUUGUACUCUGCAACUCGAGUACAUGAAGUCGGAGUCGCUAGUAAACGCGGAUCAGCAGGUCGCGUUGAAUACGUUCCCGGGCCUUGUACACACCGCCCGUCACACCAUGGGAGUCGGAAGGACCCAAAGGGCCCAAAAGGUCUCAAGGUCAGGCCGAUGACUGGGGUGAAGUCGUAACAAGGUAACCAAGGGC
Molecule: ribosomal RNA, 721 nt
Filed under: uncultured bacterium
Lineage: Bacteria
Description: bacterial SSU rRNA
Rfam family: Bacterial small subunit ribosomal RNA
Source: RNAcentral